Molecule: ribosomal RNA, 738 nt
Filed under: Halomonas sp. Hal005
Lineage: Bacteria; Pseudomonadati; Pseudomonadota; Gammaproteobacteria; Oceanospirillales; Halomonadaceae
Description: bacterial SSU rRNA
Rfam family: Bacterial small subunit ribosomal RNA
Source: RNAcentral
GCAGUCGAGCGGUAGCAGGUCCUUCGGGAUGCUGACGAGCGGCGGACGGGUGAGUAAUGCAUAGGAAUCUGCCCGGUAGUGGGGGAUAACCUGGGGAAACCCAGGCUAAUACCGCAUACGUCCUACGGGAGAAAGGGGGCUCCGGCUCCCGCUAUUGGAUGAGCCUAUGUCGGAUUAGCUAGUUGGUGAGGUAAUGGCUCACCAAGGCAACGAUCCGUAGCUGGUCUGAGAGGAUGAUCAGCCACAUCGGGACUGAGACACGGCCCGAACUCCUACGGGAGGCAGCAGUGGGGAAUAUUGGACAAUGGGGGCAACCCUGAUCCAGCCAUGCCGCGUGUGUGAAGAAGGCCCUCGGGUUGUAAAGCACUUUCAGCGAGGAAGAACGCCUAGCGGUUAAUACCCGCUAGGAAAGACAUCACUCGCAGAAGAAGCACCGGCUAACUCCGUGCCAGCAGCCGCGGUAAUACGGAGGGUGCAAGCGUUAAUCGGAAUUACUGGGCGUAAAGCGCGCGUAGGUGGCUUGAUAAGCCGGUUGUGAAAGCCCCGGGCUCAACCUGGGAACGGCAUCCGGAACUGUCAGGCUAGAGUGCAGGAGAGGAAGGUAGAAUUCCCGGUGUAGCGGUGAAAUGCGUAGAGAUCGGGAGGAAUACCAGUGGCGAAAGCGGCCUUCUGGACUGACACUGACACUGAGGUGCGAAAGCGUGGGUAGCAAACAGGAUUAGAUACCCUGGUAGUCCA